UACGGGGGGGGCAAGCGUUGUUCGGAAUUACUGGGCGUAAAGGGCUCGUAGGCGGCCAACUAAGUCAGACGUGAAAUCCCUCGGCUUAACCGGGGAACUGCAUCUGAUACUGGAUGGCUUGAGUUCGGGAGAGGGAUGCGGAAUUCCAGGUGUAGCGGUGAAAUGCGUAGAUAUCUGGAGGAACACCGGUGGCGAAGGCGGCAUCCUGGACCGACACUGACGCUGAGGAGCGAAAGCCAGGGGAGCAAAGCGGG
Molecule: ribosomal RNA, 254 nt
Filed under: uncultured bacterium
Lineage: Bacteria
Description: partial 16S ribosomal RNA
Rfam family: Bacterial small subunit ribosomal RNA
Source: RNAcentral